Mya arenaria is the source of this 300-nucleotide long non-coding RNA. RefSeq lists it as uncharacterized. The transcript has 2 exons. The record is from RefSeq and is a predicted model, not a curated record. Lineage: Eukaryota; Metazoa; Mollusca; Bivalvia; Myida; Myidae.
AUAUAUAAUGUAAUUACUGGUAUAUGUUUUACUGUUUUGUUUAAACUGUUUCAAACUUGUUUCUAUGUCAUCAUCUGAAACUGUCUUAAACUUCAGACUGGGGAGUUGGUGAGCCGUCUGAUGUGAACCAUUCGGAGGAUUGCGUCCAUAUGUGGAUGCCAAAGAACUACACGUGGGGAGAUUUUCAAUGCAGACAUCCGCUGCAAUUCAUUUGCGAAAUGAGUGGACAUGUCGAUGGGGAGCCAAACAUGGUUGGAUAGACCCUGGAAAACAUAUUUAGCAUUAAAAACAUCAAUGUGA